RNAcentral lists this ribosomal RNA (357 nucleotides) under uncultured Latescibacterota bacterium. Its description in RNAcentral is "bacterial SSU rRNA". It matches the Rfam family "Bacterial small subunit ribosomal RNA", at positions 1025 to 1382 of the family's 1533-position model. The record is from RNAcentral. Lineage: Bacteria; Pseudomonadati; Candidatus Latescibacterota.
GGCACCUGCACAGGUGCUGCAUGGCUGUCGUCAGCUCGUGUCGUGAGAUGUUGGGUUAAGUCCCGCAACGAGCGCAACCCUUAUCCCUAGUUGCCAUCAGGUAAAGCUGGGAACUCUGGGGAGACUGCCGGUGAUAAACCGGAGGAAGGCGGGGAUGACGUCAAGUCCUCAUGGCCCUUACAUCCCGGGCUACACACGUGCUACAAUGGCAUCUACAGUGGGCAGCUAUUCCGCAAGGAUGCGCUAAUCUCCAAAAGAUGUCUCAGUUCGGAUUGUCCUCUGCAACUCGAGGGCAUGAAGGCGGAAUCGCUAGUAAUCGCGGAUCAGCAUGCCGCGGUGAAUACGUUCCCAGGCCUU